RNAcentral lists this ribosomal RNA (253 nucleotides) under uncultured bacterium. RNAcentral describes it as "partial 16S ribosomal RNA". It matches the Rfam family "Bacterial small subunit ribosomal RNA", at positions 524 to 776 of the family's 1533-position model. The record is from RNAcentral.
UACGUAGGGUGCAAGCGUUAAUCGGAAUUACUGGGCGUAAAGCGUGCGCAGGCGGUUAUGUAAGACAGAUGUGAAAUCCCCGGGCUUAACCUGGGAACUGCAUUUGUGACUGCAAGGCUGGAGUGCGGCAGAGGGGGAUGGAAUUCCGCGUGUAGCAGUGAAAUGCGUAGAUAUGCGGAGGAACACCGAUGGCGAAGGCAAUCCCCUGGGCCUGCACUGACGCUCAUGCACGAAAGCGUGGGGAGCAAACAGG